Molecule: non-coding RNA, 175 nt
Filed under: Clostridiales bacterium
Lineage: Bacteria; Bacillati; Bacillota; Clostridia; Eubacteriales
Also listed under: 2 other names
Description: 6S RNA
Rfam family: 6S / SsrS RNA
About the family: E. coli 6S RNA was the first non coding RNA to be sequenced, but its function was unknown until recently. It consists of 184 nucleotides that fold into an extended hairpin structure with a large single-stranded internal bulge. The 6S RNA specifically associates with RNA polymerase holoenzyme containing the sigma70 specificity factor.
Source: RNAcentral
GUAAUCCUGCGGUGUGCGUCACGCUUUGGUUAUAAACCCACAGAUUUAUGCCGGGAGCGUCCGUCGAGCAAGCCUAUGCCGCCUUCUUUGUUUGGCACGCAGAAGCACUUGCAGCGCACCCACCUGCCGAGGAGGCGGGCGUUAUAACGAGGGCGAACGGCACCCUGGGAUUAUU